AAUAUUGGACAAUGGGGGAAACCCUGACCAAGCAAGGCCGCUGGUGUGAAGAAGGUCUUCGGAUUGUAAAGCAUUUAAGGUUGGGAGAAAGGGCGGUAAGUAAAUACCUUGCGGUUUUGACGUUACGGACAGAAUAAGCACAAGCAAACUUCGUGCUAGCAGCCGCGGUAAUACGAAGGGUGCAAGCGUUAAUCGGAAUUACUGGGGGUAAAGCGCGCGUAGGUGGUUUGUUAAGUUGGAAGUGAAAGCCCCGGGCUCAACCUGGGAACUGCUUUCAUAACUGCUGAGCUAGAGUACGGUAGAGGGUAGUGGAAUUUCCAGUGUAGCGGUGAAAUGCGUAGAUAUAGGAAGGAACACCAGUGGCGAAGGCGACUACCUGGACUGAUACUGACACUGAGGUGCGAAAGCGUGGGGAGCAAAC
RNAcentral lists this ribosomal RNA (421 nucleotides) under uncultured bacterium. RNAcentral's name for it is "partial 16S ribosomal RNA". It matches the Rfam family "Bacterial small subunit ribosomal RNA", at positions 360 to 773 of the family's 1533-position model. The record is from RNAcentral.